This is a long non-coding RNA of Physeter macrocephalus (sperm whale), 2619 nucleotides long. RefSeq lists it as uncharacterized. Lineage: Eukaryota; Metazoa; Chordata; Mammalia; Artiodactyla; Physeteridae. The record is from RefSeq and is a predicted model, not a curated record. The transcript is spliced from 5 exons.
UGUUCUUUCUCCUAAGCUUUCGAAAGAAGGCGUUUGUUGGGGCUCUGUAUCCGUCUUCAGUGAGGUGGUAAAUUUUAUAGUGCUGGGGUCGCUCACACAGUUAUCUCAGGCAUGGGUCCCUUGUGGUGCAAAAGGUAGGUCCGGGUUCGCGGCCCCACAGCACUAAUCGGGGUUUUAAAGUCCCGUUCAUUUUCUCAGAGCCUGGCCCCGUCCUCGCCGUAGCUUCGCCUCCGUGAGUGGCGGGGUCAUUCCCAGGAGGCGGGGACCUCCCGGUUUUGGAAGCGGGCUACUUGGGCGACCCAGAGGGUCCCGGCGCGGUGACCCUUUUCUGAGACUUGACCUUUUUUUUUCCGUUUGCGUUAAGGUAGGGUUUCUCAGCCUAGGCACUACUGACAUUUUGGGCCAGAUAAUUCUGUUUUUUGGGGGGAGCAGUCCUGUGCGCUGUAGGGUGUUUAUCUGCAUCCCCUUCUUUCCCCCAGUUGUGACGACCAAAAAUGUCUCCAGAUACCAGACAUCCCCUCCCAGGGAAAAUCGUCGGGGGAUAGGAUUAGGUUUAGGAGAUACUCUGGGUUUUGGGGAAGUGAUCCUUUUCAGAGCCGGCAGCAACGAUGUCUUAGCUACGUGAACGAACUUGUGGCCGGGCUCGCCCGCUCUUCCAGACGCUCUCGUUCCUGUUCCAGCGUCUCGCUGGAGUCGGUCGUGGUCCAGGAGUCAGAUCCUGCCCGGGAGAAGGAGCAGGUCACGGUCUCGGUCCGGAAGGCGCCACCAGAGAAAGUACGGGCGCCACUCACAGUCUUCCUCGCGGAGCGGGUCGCGAUCCCGCAGGAAGUGCCGCUCUCGGGGAAGGUCGUAUUACAGAAGGGCCUUCUCGAACACGCGGGGUGACAGUACUAGGGCUUUAACCCUGUGGUGUACCCGAAAGAACACAGCACUUGGAGGGAGAGAUCCGGGAAGAGGUCGCAGAGCAGAACCCCGUUUCCUGUAAAAUUGACCUAUUAGAAAUAGCAAAAGCAAGCGCAGCUAAAUCAUUAGGAACAGCCAACCUUGACUUCCCGGCUAGUCUCAGAACUGUUCCUUGUAGCUAAAGAAAGAAACUGUGGAACAGCUGUACCAAGUACUGCAAAGUUCAAGAAAUGGAAGGAGAGAGACUCCUUAGACAGCUGCCAACAAGAUGGCUGUCAUUGUUGCCAGCCAUAGGAAAGAUGUUAAAAUGUUGGCCUACUAUAGAAUCCUGUUUUCAAAGUGUGGGAAAAGAAGACUGUCCUUCUCUAAUUUGGAAAUACGUUGAAGAUGAGAAUGGAGAAAAGGAUUACAGUACAACAGAAAUUUAUAUGCUUUUUCUUCAGAACUGCUUGGUGAUCUUUGAAGAGGCCAUAAGGAGCCUAGAAAAGGAUAAACUGCACCUGCGUUAUUUGAUACUAUGUGUAAGUUGUGACAAAAACUCACACAGCGAAAGAAUGACUCACUUUUUGGAAAGAAAACUGCUUUAGAACUGAAAAAAACGUCACCAAAAAAGGGCAACCAAAUUAAACAGGAUUUUUUCAACUUCUUUACUAGAACAAUAACUCAUUUGGAAUCCAAUUUCGAUUUCACAAGUUCAAAUUACCUCUGUGCUUUAAAACCAUUUUCCCUGAGAAAGCGAGGUUUAACUUACAAGGACAUUCAGUGUGCUUCAGAAUGUUUAAAGAUGAUGGACAUUUUAGACACGGAUAACCUCUAUGAUGAAUUUAUAGAUGCAAAGGACCUGAUUGACAAACAACUGGUCUACCAAAAUAAGCUUGUAGAUGAAAAAUGGAUGGACAUUUUUGGAGAGCUAGAAAUUAAUUCCUGCAAGUCCCCAAACCUGCUGUUGCUAUUUCUUGUGUCAUAAGUGGGAUCUGAAGACUAUCCCCUGACAAGCCCUGAGGCCGAAUCCCAUCCAGGACAGCACAUUACAUUUAUGUCUCCUGGGGCUCCUCUUAACUGUGACAGUUUCUCAGACUUUCCUUGUUUCUGAUGCACAGAUUUGAGGAGUACUGGUCAGGAAUAUUGUAGGUGUUGGUUAUUUUUUGUAUGUAACAUUUCAUGAUUAAAAAUUACUAAUCAGGGCGACUUCCCUCGUGGUCCAGUGGUUAAGAAUCCAUCUGCCAAUGCAGGGGACACAGGUUCCAUCCCUGGUCUGGGAAGAUCCCAUAUGCCAUGGGGCAGCUAAGCCCGUGCACCACAACUACCAAGCCCGAGCUCUAGAACCUGCGCACCGCAACUACUGAGCCCGCGUGCUGCAACUACUGAAGCCUGCACACCUACAGCCCGUGCUCCACAACAAGAGAAGCCACUGCAGUGAGAAGCCCGUGCACCAUAACGAAGAGUAGCCCCUCUCACCGCAUCUAGAGAAAAGACUGCGUGCAGCAACGAAGACCCAGCGCAGCCAAAAAAAAAAAAGAACCUAAGAGUGGUGAUCAUUAAAAAAAAAAAAGAAAAAUUGCUAAUCAGGGUCUUCCCUCGCGGUCCAGUGGUUAAGAAUUCGUGCUUCCACUGCAGGGUGCAGUUUCGAUUCCUGGUUGGGGAACUAAGAUCCUGCAAGCCGCGCGGCGUGGCCAAUAAAUAAAAUAAAAUAAAAUAAAAUAUUUCCUUCCUUUC